Molecule: long non-coding RNA, 1663 nt
Filed under: Androctonus crassicauda
Lineage: Eukaryota; Metazoa; Arthropoda; Arachnida; Scorpiones; Buthidae
Source: RNAcentral
AUUAACUUUAAAAUAUUUUAUUUCUAAAAUGUUGGAUAUCUGUUUAUAAGUGAAUAAGUAAUCACCAUGGAUAUAUAAAUAUUAUUAUUGUUAAUUUUAAAUUUAAAAAAUAAAAACUCAGAAAUAUUCCCAAUUUUUGGGGGGUUAGAACUCUUUAUCUGAAGUUGGGCUGAGUUAAAAAUGAUGAUAAAACUAAACAGAAAAACUUGUAGAAAUAUUUUAGCAAAACAAAUAUCAUCAGUAAUGUGCAUAUUGCAUUUUGAUAUGCUAUUUUUUGAAAAUGAGCAGAGAAUACUUCAAACAGAUGCCAAUUCCAGAAACCAGAUGUCUUGUUUAUUAAGUUGAAAUUGACCAUACUGUGAAAAACACAAAAAGUGGAAACAAAAUAUCUUAUUAAAAAUAUAAAUUAAUUUUUUUUCUCCAAUUAAAAUUUUAUACUGCUGAUUUUAAUUGUAUAUGCAUUUUUUUUUUUUUUUCCCCCUUCUUUGAGACGAAAAUAAGAUAUAAUACCUGUAGAUGUACUUUCUCUGCAUGACUCAUUGUAAGACAGGAAAGUGAAAGUUACAUUUGGUAAAUUAUACGAUGUCGGUAUGUUAUUUCAUAUUUGAUUUUAUGCUUAAAAAUAAGAUGGAAGAAUAUUUUUAUCUUGGAUGAUAAAGCUAAUCUAACAAUUCAUUCAAUCCGAAGAGGGAAUUAUUUUAAUGAAGGGGGACGUUUUUCAUAAUUUUCGUUAUCUUUGCUGUUGUAAUUUAAUCGCAUGAAGUAGUUUGCUUCAUUGAACGACAUACGAAGACAGAUAAGAAUUCUGUCUGCUUAUGAUCGUUACAUCCUUGCAAUUAUCGUUCUUUCAUACCAUAAGUCAAAAUCGGAUUCCUUUCAUUUAGUUUAGAUUGUUCACUUAUAUUUUAGAUGCAAUUACAUACAUUAAAAAUAUAUUUGAUACCUUUACAAUUGCUAUUGUAUAUGAAGAAAAUUUGUCAUCGAAAAUAUUAUUUAAAUGAAGACAAAAAUUAUAGCCUUAAAGUCGAAUUUAAUUUUUAUAUCUUUGCCGUAAAGUGCGUAUGUAAAAAAACAUUUAAUGCACAAUCUUUCCAAUUACAAUUAAGAUAUAUGCUAUUUUACAUUAAUAAAAAUUGUUUUCUCAAACUAAUGACAGCCGAUUCAGUUUUUUUAAAUGCAUUUUUUCAUAAGAAUGAUAUACUAUUUCGGAUAGACCAGACUUAAAUAGCAAUCAAAACAGAAUGGCAACUUUGUUAUCAGUUUAGAGAACCCAAAAUGGCAAUAUCCUUAUCUCACUUUUCUCACGUAGUUGUCGUCAUUCAGGUUCUACUUGGUGACAUUCUUUCUACCGAAUAUAACAUUAUCCGUAUUCCGGUAGCAGUAAUCUGUAGAUCGUUAUCCGAAAACCAGACUGACGGCCCUCCCUGUAUAACCUGUUUCGGGAUGGCGUUUUCGGUAUUAUUUUCUCGUUUAAUCUGUAUAAUGGGCAACGAACGUUUAGUAAAUAUUCUACAUCGAUUUAUACAAAUAAAUUGUUUUUAAUUAAUAAUUUCUUUUCCGCUUAUUAAUAAAAAAUGUUUUUUCAUCAUUUUUUUUUUUAUAUCUGAUAUUGACAAACUUAUCUGUUGUUACUUUGUUUCACUUUGGCAUAAAUAAUCGUGAU